This 616-nucleotide ribosomal RNA is filed under the name Staphylococcus saprophyticus. RNAcentral describes it as "bacterial SSU rRNA". It matches the Rfam family "Bacterial small subunit ribosomal RNA", at positions 73 to 674 of the family's 1533-position model. Lineage: Bacteria; Bacillati; Bacillota; Bacilli; Caryophanales; Staphylococcaceae. The record is from RNAcentral.
AAGGAGCUUGCUCCUUUGACGUUAGCGGCGGACGGGUGAGUAACACGUGGGUAACCUACCUAUAAGACUGGGAUAACUUCGGGAAACCGGAGCUAAUACCGGAUAACAUUUGGAACCGCAUGGUUCUAAAGUGAAAGAUGGUUUUGCUAUCACUUAUAGAUGGACCCGCGCCGUAUUAGCUAGUUGGUAAGGUAACGGCUUACCAAGGCGACGAUACGUAGCCGACCUGAGAGGGUGAUCGGCCACACUGGAACUGAGACACGGUCCAGACUCCUACGGGAGGCAGCAGUAGGGAAUCUUCCGCAAUGGGCGAAAGCCUGACGGAGCAACGCCGCGUGAGUGAUGAAGGGUUUCGGCUCGUAAAACUCUGUUAUUAGGGAAGAACAAACGUGUAAGUAACUGUGCACGUCUUGACGGUACCUAAUCAGAAAGCCACGGCUAACUACGUGCCAGCAGCCGCGGUAAUACGUAGGUGGCAAGCGUUAUCCGGAAUUAUUGGGCGUAAAGCGCGCGUAGGCGGUUUCUUAAGUCUGAUGUGAAAGCCCACGGCUCAACCGUGGAGGGUCAUUGGAAACUGGGAAACUUGAGUGCAGAAGAGGAAAGUGGAAUUCCAUGG